RNAcentral lists this ribosomal RNA (896 nucleotides) under Fusarium palustre. Its description in RNAcentral is "LSU rRNA". It matches the Rfam family "Eukaryotic large subunit ribosomal RNA", at positions 38 to 964 of the family's 3401-position model. Lineage: Eukaryota; Fungi; Ascomycota; Sordariomycetes; Hypocreales; Nectriaceae. The record is from RNAcentral.
GCAUAUCAAUAAGCGGAGGAAAAGAAACCAACAGGGAUUGCCCUAGUAACGGCGAGUGAAGCGGCAACAGCUCAAAUUUGAAAUCUGGCUCUCGGGCCCGAGUUGUAAUUUGUAGAGGAUGACUUUGAUGCGGUGCCUUCCGAGUUCCCUGGAACGGGACGCCAUAGAGGGUGAGAGCCCCGUCUGGUUGGAUGCCAAAUCUCUGUAAGUCUCCUUCGACGAGUCGAGUAGUUUGGGAAUGCUGCUCUAAAUGGGAGGUAUAUGUCUUCUAAAGCUAAAUACCGGCCAGAGACCGAUAGCGCACAAGUAGAGUGAUCGAAAGAUGAAAAGCACUUUGAAAAGAGAGUUAAAAAGUACGUGAAAUUGUUGAAAGGGAAGCGUUUAUGACCAGACUUGGGCUUGGUUAAUCAUCUGGGGUUCUCCCCAGUGCACUUUUCCAGUCCAGGCCAGCAUCAGUUUUCGCCGGGGGAUAAAGGCUUCGGGAAUGUGGCUCCCUCCGGGGAGUGUUAUAGCCCGUUGUGUAAUACCCUGGCGGGGACUGAGGUUCGCGCUUCUGCAAGGAUGCUGGCGUAAUGGUCAUCAACGACCCGUCUUGAAACACGGACCAAGGAGUCGUCUUCGUAUGCGAGUGUUCGGGUGUAAAACCCCUACGCGUAAUGAAAGUGAACGCAGGUGAGAGCUUCGGCGCAUCAUCGACCGAUCCUGAUGUUCUCGGAUGGAUUUGAGUAAGAGCAUACGGGGCCGGACCCGAAAGAAGGUGAACUAUGCCUGUGUAGGGUGAAGCCAGAGGAAACUCUGGUGGAGGCUCGCAGCGGUUCUGACGUGCAAAUCGAUCGUCAAACAUGGGCAUGGGGGCGAAAGACUAAUCGAACCUUCUAGUAGCUGGUUUCCGCCGA